RNAcentral lists this ribosomal RNA (497 nucleotides) under uncultured bacterium. RNAcentral's name for it is "partial 16S ribosomal RNA". It matches the Rfam family "Bacterial small subunit ribosomal RNA", at positions 28 to 507 of the family's 1533-position model. The record is from RNAcentral.
GAUGAACGCUGGCGGCGUGCCUAAUACAUGCAAGUCGAGCGAACAGACGAUGAGCUUGCUCCUCUGACGUUAUCGGCUGACGUGUGAGUAACUCGUGUAUAACCUACCUAUAAUACUUGGAUAACUUCGGGAAACCGGUGCUAAUACCGUAUAAUAUAUUGAACCUCAUGGUUCAAUAGUUAAUGACGGUUUUUCUUUCACUUAUCGAUUGAUCCGCGCCGCAUUAGCUAGUUGGUAAGGUAACGGCUUACCAAGGCAACGAUGCGUAGCCGAACUGAGAGGGUGAUCGGCCACACUGGAAGUGAGACACGGACAAGACUACUACGGGAGGCAGCAGUAGGGAAUAUUCCGCAAUGGGCGAAAGCAUGACGGAGCAAAGCCGAGUGAGUGAUGAAGGUCUUCGGAUCGUAAAAAAAUGUUAUUAGGGAAGAACAAAUGUGUAAGAAAAUAUGAACGUAUUGACGGUAACAAAAAAGAAAGCAACGGCUAACUACGUG